CAAAAAAAAUUAUUUUUCCUUUUUUUUAAUUGCAAGUGUAAAGAGUAUUUAAUUUGUUAAAAUUUUCUCUCUCUUCUAAACUCACCUCCUCCAAACGCUCUCUGCUUCAAUUCUUCAAGCCAUUGCUAUGAGGUUGCAAUCAAUUCAAACCAGUUGGGCCAAGUUACUUGCAAAGGUCCAAAUUGGAAAGAUCCGUUUCGAAAUUGGGCAUUUGGAAUUCCGGAGAGAGAGAUAGAGUUGCGGAAAGCAAAGUGAAAGAGGGCCAAAACCAGAGGAGAAUGGGAGAUCAAAAGGUGGAUUUCCAGUAAUCAAACAUAAGCAUAAGCUUCAAUUCAAUCAUCUCAAAGGAAUCGAUCUUAUUACUUUAGUUUUGCGGAUCAAGAUUUGAGAGAGCAAGGACUAGAGUAGCGGAGGAACAAUAGCAGCUGCAGCAGGUGAGAGAAAUUAGGAUAGAAGAGUAUAAGAAUCCUAGAGGAGUGGAAUUGGACUCCUUCUAGGAUCUUGCAACUUCUUGUGAACUUGAACAUCUUCAUUUUGGGGGUAUUUUUUGUUGGGUAAAACUCACUGCUUUUAUUCUGUUUUACUUCUUUGAAUAAUGUUUUGGUCACUCGUAUUCAAUCUCAUCUGUUUUUCUCUUGUCAUGCAAGUUUUUGGCCGCACAUGGUGUUGCAGGAUCAUUUCCUUUGGCAUUUAACCACCUAAAUAAGGUUUGUUUCACAGAUCUUUACUUGGGUCGGGUAGAAGUGUAUGAUUUUGUUUUUCGUAUGGUUCAGAGGUUUCCUAGCAUCAAGGAACUCUGUGAAACAGGUAACAAACGUUGUUGUUUUCUUAGCAUUUUUGCGUGAGUGAUUGAAUAAACUAUAUUGUGUCAUCAUUAGUGGUUUUCUUGGAAGACUUGGAACAAAUAUCAUAUCGGAUAUAUGUUCAUGAAUUUAAUUUAAGAUUCGCAUAUAUUCUCAUGACCGUUACUCCAUUAGCCAACAUGAAAAUUGUUAGUGUAAGCUUAGUCACAUAAUUUACAUGACUGCAGUUCUUCUAUCUUUCCUGAGAUCACUUACUGCAGUAAGGGGGAUUGUGAGGUUGAAGUGAGUUCAUGGUUAGGGCAGAGAUUAAAGUCAAUGGCGGUGUUGAAUCGGUUUGGAAUGCUCUCACAAAUUAUGAAUCCUUGUUGAUUUUGUCCCUAAUCAUGUUUGUAUGCGGAGAUUAAAGUCAAUGUCCAUGUCAAAAAUUCCUGAUGUUUGAGAUAUUUGUAUGGGGAUCUAUAUGCAAGUACUAUAUGGGCAUCUAAUGAAAAACUGAAAAAUAGAGGAAACUUCAGCACAACAGCAAUGUGCACACUGCCAGCUGGAUACAAAUAUUCAUUUGCGAAGCAUAACAGUAAGGAUGUCCUCAUUCUAGCCAGGGGUUUACAGAGUUUGUUCGCCCAAGUCGUUGCAACUAUGCUUGUUCAAAGGAGGUCGUAAAGCCUGCUGCAACUCCAACUCCAUCUUCCCCUUCAACUGGAACUCAAUCUAUUGCAGCUCUUAGAGAUCGUCUCUUGUUUCUCCUUUGCAAAGUGUAGAUUAUUGAGUGUUUUAAUUCUUUUAGUUGUUUUUGGUCAAUACCUCAAAACCGUAAAUGCCACAACAGAGAGUACUCUCUCCCAUUGUUCUCUACUACCUUUGCAUGCGUGUAUAAAUCAAUAUAAUUCAUGCGUGUACUUCAUGCAAGUGAUUUCUUCCA
Molecule: long non-coding RNA, 1722 nt
Organism: Spinacia oleracea (spinach)
Lineage: Eukaryota; Viridiplantae; Streptophyta; Magnoliopsida; Caryophyllales; Amaranthaceae
Exons: 2
Source: RefSeq, a predicted model, not a curated record